GCCAGGUGCAGUAGCGCACGCCUGUAAUCCCAGUGGCUCUGGAGGCUGAGGCAGGAGGAUCAUAAGUUCAAAGCCAGCCUCAGCAAUUUAGCAAGGCCCUAAGCAACUCAGUGAGACCCUGUGUCUA
RNAcentral lists this small RNA (127 nucleotides) under Marmota monax (woodchuck). The record is from RNAcentral. Lineage: Eukaryota; Metazoa; Chordata; Mammalia; Rodentia; Sciuridae.